RNAcentral lists this long non-coding RNA (453 nucleotides) under Bos taurus (domestic cattle). RNAcentral describes it as "long non-coding RNA NONBTAT004087". The record is from RNAcentral. Lineage: Eukaryota; Metazoa; Chordata; Mammalia; Artiodactyla; Bovidae.
AGAAGUGUAUAUAUCUAGUUAAUGCAAAAAUCCUAAUUUAAUUGUCAGUUAUCUCCUUUAUUCAGAAAUGGCUUUUAUCUGUCAUCUCUGCUUUCUUUUGUUUAAAUUGGGGGAGUAAUCUUUUUUUAUCAUUUUUGUUUCUACUUAAUUGGUUUCUAUAAGAAUUUCUUGACACUCCUAAAAGAUUUUUAGAUACAUACAAAAUGCCCUUUUGAUCUUUUUUAUCUUUUUUUAUCUUUUUGAUCAUUUUUUAUAUGUUUUCAAUACAAAAAGUAAAAUAAACAGCAAAAUGAAGCAAAGAAAAGACAAUUAUUUAUAGCACCAGUAAAUCAAUAGUAAGGAAAACCACAGGGGUAAAGGCUGCAGGUGGCCAGCAGUAACUUCAGUUAUUGCAUAGAUUAAAAACAUAUAUUUGUCACACACUUUACUAUCAUGUAGGCCCAGUAGUGCUUU